Molecule: long non-coding RNA, 1188 nt
Filed under: Nicotiana benthamiana
Lineage: Eukaryota; Viridiplantae; Streptophyta; Magnoliopsida; Solanales; Solanaceae
Description: long non-coding RNA (NBEN_LNC035128)
Source: RNAcentral
CGGAACUAGUUUGCUUGAUUUACAAUGUAAACAUAUGUUUCAUCUUGAACCAUGCUUUGAAAAUAUAAAAUUGUAGUGAUAAAAUACAAAAACAAUUUCAAGCAUGUUCAUCUGACAAAAGGUGUUUAACUAACAAUUCCAAACUAUAGUUUCGCUUCUGUAAAAUGGUAUCAACAUUGAGAUAGCUUGACAGUCUAGAGACAGCAGUGGGACGGACGGGACGGUGCAGGUUUAGCCUUAACCCACAAAGGCUUCAACCCAAAUGGCCCCGCUCUGCAUAACAAGUUUUUGCCCUUUAAUUGCUCGGGGGAAUCGACCUUCUUUAGUCAAAGCUUUUUCUUGCUCAAUGCUUUCCUAUCUCGAGUGAUUUACCGUGAUCCACCUAUGAGAUCGUUUGCACCGGCUUUGGAUUCAAGAAGAUCGGCCAUAGAAUAAGGAAUGGGAAGAGAGCGAGAGACUCUCGAUUCGCUGCUCUACAUUUCGAGAAAGUGGAAUAAGAAAGGCCGUAGUACCCUAGGCCCGACAGAAUAAUGAGAAGACUGCUCUACAUUUCCAGAAAGUGGAAUAAGAAAGGCCGUAGUACCCUAGGCCCGACGCAAAGGUUCGAACAGGAUGGCGGUUAUUCUUCCUCGUCUCUUUCGGGCGGGGGACGGGAAUAGCUCUUCUAGCAUCAGCAUGGAUUGACCAGAGACUUGGAUGAAAAGAAUAGGUAUGUUCAACUAGUUAUUUGAACUAUUCAAUAAGAAUAUGGAUUUUCAAUGCUAGAAAUGCCAUAACUCUCUUUCUGAAUAUCUCGACUUUCUUUCUCAAACCACCGGCAGGGGUGCGGAAAUAGCAAAAACUAAUGGUAGAGCAAAAAUUGCUUCUGAUUUGAUUUCGCCUGAAACGAAUUCCUCGCUUUGAUAAGAAAUAUCCGAGUAAACAACCUUUGAGCUGUGCCGUCUUCUGGUCCUCAUGUGGAUGAUUCCCCAUAUGAGAAGUGAAAGGUUGGUUUAUCAAUUCGAAGAUCGCUGCUAUGGGAUUUAGCGGCUCCAGCCGCAUUGACGAUAGUCAUUCAUUGCAACUUAGAUUGCACGAUCAAGAUCAAAGUGUCCGUCCGUUCGGUAAGUCAGCCAGUCGUCAUCUUAUCUUGCACGAGCAUCGUCGUCCCCAUCACUUCCUCAUCCUCAACCUCUAGAGGAGUGGAAG